This 776-nucleotide ribosomal RNA is filed under the name uncultured Neocallimastigales. RNAcentral describes it as "partial large subunit ribosomal RNA". It matches the Rfam family "Eukaryotic large subunit ribosomal RNA", at positions 24 to 635 of the family's 3401-position model. The record is from RNAcentral. Lineage: Eukaryota; Fungi; Neocallimastigomycota; Neocallimastigomycetes; Neocallimastigales.
UAUGUGAUCGUCUCUCGCAUAUCAAUAAGCGGAGGAAAAGAAACUAACAAGGAUUCCCCUAGUAACGGCGAGUGAAGCGGGAAGAGCUCAAAUUUGAAAUCUUAAAGGGUUUCCCUUUACGAAUUGUAGUUUAAAGAAGUGUUUUCUAGUUGAGGUUUUGGUAAAAGCUCUUUGGAAUAGGACAUCAUAGAGGGUGAGAAUCCCGUAUUUGACCUUUACCUUUCAACUUUGUGAUACACUUUCAAAGAGUCGGAUUGUUUGGGAAUGCAGUCCAAAAUGGGUGGUAAAUUUCAUCUAAAGCUAAAUAUUGGCGAGAGACCGAUAGCGAACAAGUACCGUGAGGGAAAGAUGAAAAGAACUUUGAAAAGAGAGUUAAACAGUACGUGAAAUUGUCAAAAGGGAAGCGUUUGACACCAGUGUUGUUUUUCUGAAGAUCAAUUAAAGAACUGUUUAUGCUAAGUUGUUUAGACUUUAUCAGCUAUCUGUUUAGUUUUGAGCUUUUCUUUAAUGCACUUUUCAGUUAACAAGUCAACAUCAAUUUCUUUUGCUGUAAAAAAGCUUGAGGAAGGUGGCUUGAGAUUCGUCUUAAGUGUUUAUAGCCUCUUGCCUAUGCAGUCGGAGAGAUUGAGGUCUGCAGCGUAGGUCCUUCGGGGCUAAAUGCAUUUGUGCUAAGUUAUAGCAUUUUAUAGACAACUUGUUGACUAUGAUUUGUCUUGUAGCUUACUCGCUUAUGUUAUUUUACCUACGCUUAGGAUGUUGAUCUACAGAGCGAGAGU